Small nuclear RNA from Molossus molossus (Pallas's mastiff bat), 107 nucleotides. The record is from RefSeq and is a predicted model, not a curated record. Lineage: Eukaryota; Metazoa; Chordata; Mammalia; Chiroptera; Molossidae.
GUGUUCGCUUCGACAGCACAUGUACUAAAAGUGGAAUCAUACAGGGAAGAUUAGCAGGGUCCCUGCGCAAGGAUGAAGCACAAAUUCGUGAAGCGUUCCAUAUUUUA